Alligator sinensis (Chinese alligator) is the source of this 298-nucleotide long non-coding RNA. RefSeq lists it as uncharacterized. The transcript has 3 exons. Lineage: Eukaryota; Metazoa; Chordata; Crocodylia; Alligatoridae. The record is from RefSeq and is a predicted model, not a curated record.
CUGCCAGCAGCCAGAGAGGUAGGAGCUUCCUAAGCCAUGAUGCGAAGAGAAGCCUAACUGCAGGGUGAUGGUAGAGACACAUCCCAGAAAAGCUAAAGGCCCUACAGUUUCUCCACACCAGUCAAAACAGGACUUAAAUCUAUGUAUCCCACAUUCCAGAAGACCUGGUUUUCUCCUCAUCAUUUGACCUAAGAGGCUGCAUUGCUACCUGCACCUGCUUUUAAAGACACCCAAGGACAUCAGCAGAAGCCUGAGUCAUUUAUUAAGCAGCAUUCUUUCACAUGUAGUUCCUGCAGGU